AAGUAACGGAAGAAAUUUUUCAAUUUCAAAGAUAAUAAAAAAACGAGAGAAAAAUACGAAAAGAACGAAUAAAGACGAAGACGUCGACGACGUGCGUCGAUUAGCGAUUUCGCCAGCAACGAUCUCUCUACGUGCAUUAAUAUUUAAGUACAUUGAUUAACCGAUAUUCUCUCGCAUAAGUACCGCAAUAAGUACUCAAUCGUUCCCUGCUGCCUACUUUACAGUGUUUGUUUAAAUUUUCAUCGCGCUUUUAAUUUUGUUAUCUCUUUUUUUUUACCUUUUGAUUUUCGGGACGGACGGAAGGUGGUUCGAAAAAACCAAGUCCAUUUUCGCCGAACAACUCGCAACGGUGACGGCAAAAAUUUCUCUCGCAGACAUAGAUGGAUGUAUCCUUCGCAUUCAUAAUCGCCAAUUAACAAUUUCUUUCUAAAUCAAUUUUCUGAUUAAGAUCUAUUAGGCAAAUGAAGCGAUAAUACUUCUUAAACAAUACUCGCCGUGUGGAAGAAUAUCGAUAUAUAUAUGUAGGUACGCUUCACGUUCACAGCGUGGCUAAAUAAAUAAAUUACAUUAGAUACGAUUUGAGACGCGACUUUAAUGCGACAUCGAAAUUAAAUCGCGCGAUCAAAAACUUAUGUUGCGUAAGUAUCUCGGUGUGGAGUAUUGCAAGAAUGUCUACAUGUAUAAUAUUGUACAUAUACGUACAUAUUUAUCAGAAUGACUGCGAAUGUGUGACAAAAUCUGCUAUUCUUAAAAAUAACGCAAGAAUUAGGAGGAGCUAUAAUCGAACUCGUAAAUAAAUUAUAAGUCGCAGAUUUAUCAUAUGAUCGCGCAAAUAUUAUGUGUGCUAUGUCUCCUCUUCAAUAUAAUCACCUAAAAUCAUAUUUAUAAGAUAUUAUUACACAUCGAUUAAAUUUCAUCUAGGAAGAAUUUUUCUCGUCUCAUUGCUGAGUCGCCGGUUUAAUGAAUGAUUCCAUUAACGUUCUUUCUUUGCAACUUUUUCAUACGUUCUUCCUCCUUUUCCUAUACACUGUCGUGUCAUACUUUAAAUAAUUAAUCUAUGUACAAUGCAUAACUACACACAUACGCGCCUCAAUUAUCCCUCUUGUGAUUAUCUCCCUUGGCCUUCCUCGACUUUUACCCUCGAUCCGUUUCGAAAAACCGAAAGUGCAGCCGUUAACUUGAAAGACAGAAAGCUGCUAGAGGCGCAAUACUGAUAUCUCGCGGGACGCUAUCAAUUAUUACUAUACGGGUCUGAGGAAAAUCUUCUUGCACUCGAUUGCAAUCAGAUCGUCAGAUAUGAACUCGCACCUUUUUUUCGAGGAUCGGCUCGACGAACGAUUUUCGCACAGCUAUUCCUAUUACAGAGCGGAAGCACCGUCUAAGAUUCUCAAGGAAAUCGUUCGACGUGAGCGUCGUCCUCGUGCGAGAAUUUUCUCAUCAUCCCGCGAUCCUCCAUCUUUACGAUAAAUGCAACACGCUCGUGUGUGUGUGUAUAUAUAUAUAUAUAUAUAUGUGUGUAUAUAUAUAUAUAAUAGACGACGAUAGUGUAAGACAAUAUCUCCGCUAUAACCUUCAACAACUAAUCUUUAUUUAAGUAAUCUAUAUGGGUGUUUUCUGCCGGCUAUACAGGACGAUAGAGUCCGCGGUACCCGAGCUCACGAUCGCUCUUAUUCUCUCUGUUAUCGCGCGGCACGACGACCUUGAGCAAGUUCCUCACGAGUACUUCUUCUUCGACCCUGUUCGCUUAAGUACUGGCCACUUCGCGUCAAUAUCACAGUCCCUCACGCGGAUGUUAAUCCACCUGCAUAAUGACAGUUCACGUAUGGUGAAAUGUCACUCUACAUCUAUCUAACGUGCUUGUCUGCUUGAGCCGGGUGAACCCGCCGGAAAUGCAAGUUUCCCUCCUGCGAAAGGUACGAUUAUCAUUUCGCGAUCCAGGUCGCGGGACACACGAUCACGAAGAGCGACUACACUACGCGUAAUUUGUUCUCUCUUGAAAAAGAAAAAAAAAUGGUAAGGGUGCAGUAUAAUCUUGGGUGCGUACAAUUUCGUUUUUUCAUGCAGAACGACGAUAAUCUCGCUCGCGGUUCGAGCCUAACUCUACUCAAGAUAAUUGGGAUAUCCAAUUACGAUAUAUCGCGUGACAGACAUUGAAGUAUAAUUAUCGAUACUGUCGGGAAAUCCGUUGUUGGUAUUUCGCGCGACGUCUAUUGCUUCUCCAUAUAAUCGCGGCUGACGAGCUUGUAAGCCACUGUUAUUAUUCGGUGCAUGAAACUUUUGUGUAUCUCCCUGUCACAUCACCCGAACAUAUAUGCUUGGUUUUUAAUGCGUUUAUGCGUGUACCAUUUUUUUACUUUUUACUGAGGUCGUUAAGGCUGUGCGCGUAUACUUAUCUAUCUAUAAAGUAUUUUACGCUGAUAUUUUUUCUUUUGUGCUGGUUUUUAAGUUCGCUGCGCUACUGUCGUUCUACUAAAUGCCGACUCGAUAUAAGAGAAAGCUCGUCGUCGUGCUCCUUCGGAACCCGGCUUCUUUUUUUUCCGGGUCCUCUCCUGUUUAGAGAGAACUCGUAUUAUUCAACCGGAAGAAGCUUGACCGCGGCAUUACGCGCGCGACAGCAUUCGACGGUGUUCGAGGUCGGGCCAAGGACACGGCGGCUUACGUGUAGUAUUUUCGAUCGUGCGCGACGUCGAAACGCGAACGUGCGGACUGCCGCUAUGUGCUCGAGCGAAAAUACUUAGCGACGCUGUUGAUGAACUCCUGACGCUACAACUGCACUUGGAACGCCUGGGUCGCGUUCGGCAUAAUGAAGGGAUUCGUUGUCGCGGUCGAUUGCCGCAGAUUUCUGGCGGCGAUUUCUGCCCACUCGACGUCGAAAGGAUCGGAGGGUCCUCCUCUGGAAGCCUGGCCCUGCAUCGCGGCCGACCCGAGCGAGUGCGCUCUGGCGUGAAGCGGAGGUGCUCGUCGUGGACUGGCAGCUACCUGCUGCGACCCCGGCGACGGCACCGAGCCGGUUAUACUGCCCAACCAUUGUUCUGGUUUCGGCAAACCGGCUGCCGUGGAAAGUGGUUGUACCUGGUGAAUAGAGAAACUCGUGAGAGAAGACCGUCCCCAGUAAUUUACCUUAGUGAUACGAUACAAUGGACCAAAGGAAGAAAAGAUUCUUGUAUGUCGGCUGUAAGAAUUAAAUAAUGUAAAUGAUCAAAAGUUUUCAAGAAGAAUAACAUGAAGAAUUUUCACGCCUGAUUUACUUGAAGUUUUGCGAAUAAUUUAAUUUUAAUAAAAUUCUAAAGAAUUUCGCUCAUCGAAUUAAGAAACUUGUUCAUAAAUGUUCAACUUACUAAAGCUGUCGGAACACUGGUUGCCGAUGAAACUUGGCCGACGUCUGUCGAGAUGGAUAAUGCCGAGGAGACGGACGCUACGCUGGCGCUGGGAGAACUUGUUUUCGGUGUCAUCGCCGAACUUAUUGGUAUCGGCGAUCUGUUCACAGCCGACGUAGACGUAUUUCCCAAAGAGGACGUAGAAGCUGUGCUAAAAGCGGGGCUUGCUGUCGACGGUGCCGGUGUGCUCAUAAUGACCGGAGUAGGCGCGUUCGUCCUUGGAAGAACAGGACUCAAGUUGCUUGUCUUAAGAAGAGGCGUGAGCCUGUGGUUUGACGCGAGAACGGGGGAUGCCGACUCUUGCCAACUGGGCCCGACGUGAUUCAGACCGCCGAGCUCGUCGCUCUUGUUAUUAUCGUUGUUGUUAUUAUUGAUGCUGGGACCAUUCUGCAGUUUCAUCUCGUCCAAUGAGCUGCUACUCGUUACUGAAAAGGAUCGCCAUGUGAAAAUUACGAACAAAGUUACGAAGAAGUUAUAAAGAAAAGUUACGAUUCUUUUAACGCACCAUCGACCAUCGCGAUUGAUCGGAACGAAAAGGGAAAUUAGUAACUUUCAUUGAUCUUUCCUGGAAAGUACCUGGAGGAGAGUUAGUGAUGGUGCUCGUGAAAAGUUGUUUAGCGAUGGAGCUCGCGGCAAGGGACGGCAUUGGUCCAAAGUCGUCGCUGCUCGAGAGCAGAGAAAGCCCUCGAGAAAGCUGCUGACACAUUGCAGAGACGCUGUCCUGACCACCGGGAGAUAUUUCUGGUAUUGGACUCACUGCGGAGAAACAGAAGAGAUCACGUUUGACGAAAUAUUUCAUCGCAAUCUGCAUGUCACAACGUGGUGCUGGGAUGCAUAUGGUACAAAAGACAUGCUACGGGAUGUAUAAAUACGUGUAUCGGAUAAGUAUAAAGUGAGGGAGCAUAUAACAACGAUAUUGAAUGUUUUUUCUUUCAAGCACGAGCAAAAUCACGCGGGAAAAAACAAGGAAAUUAGAUUACGAGAAUUCUAGCUACACGUGAGCUCACGCUACUAGUGUCGUGAAAUCUGUUUCUGUCUGUUAACGCAAUUGUACCAUGUGUACGGAAAAACGAGCACGUUUAAGGAUACAUCGAAGAGCAGGCAACAAUGGGGGAUUAACAGAAUAAGGAGUAAUGACCUUCGUCAUAUCCUUCGAACUCUAUUGUAAAAAACAGGGAAGCACAUCGUUAUUCAGCAAUCAGAUCGAUUUAAAUUAAUAGCACAUAUGGUCACAUUAAUCACAUUUUAUUUAAUGAAGCUAAUUCGCUCAUUCAUCCAUAAUGAAUUCGCUCAUUCAUCAAUAAUUGUCUUGAUAAGAUUAUGAAUGUAAACAAGACGAAAUAAGGUACACACUCACCUGGCGGCUUUAAAGGUACGAUGUGCGAAAGAGCUGACGGCAUUCGCGACAAGUCCGUUGGCUCGAGACUGUGACUACGUGUGCGUUCGAGAUUACUAGGAAGAUCAUUGACUCGUAGACUGAGCUGCCUUUUAAAUGGGGAUGCUUGAUUGAGCUGCGUGAAACCUCGAAAAGAACCCUGUCGUUCUAGCAUAGACGGAGUGGCGUGCGGCCUCUCGAUUGCAAAGGGAUUGUACACCUGUUUAACUGGAGGAACAUCUAAAACAUAAAUACAUUUGAGGAUCAAGGCCAGACGUAUACGCAAGCAUCUUCUAUAAAGGGUAUGAUUGGCUCGUAAAAGUCACUUUCACCUCACGACUGCAUAUUGCAAUCGUGCAAGCCUGAAUCGAAACAGAACUGAAAGAACUGCGAUAUAAGAGGUUGGAGGUGGAUACCAUAUAUAUAAAC
Molecule: non-coding RNA, 5181 nt
Organism: Nylanderia fulva
Lineage: Eukaryota; Metazoa; Arthropoda; Insecta; Hymenoptera; Formicidae
Source: RefSeq, a predicted model, not a curated record